This 508-nucleotide ribosomal RNA is filed under the name uncultured bacterium. RNAcentral's name for it is "partial 16S ribosomal RNA". It matches the Rfam family "Bacterial small subunit ribosomal RNA", at positions 28 to 507 of the family's 1533-position model. The record is from RNAcentral.
GACAAACGCUGGCGGCGUGCCUAAUACAUGCAAGUCGAACGCUUCUUUCCUCCCGAGUGCUUGCACUCAAUUGGAAAGAGGAGUGGCGGACGGGUGAGUAACACGUGGGUAACCUACCCAUCAGAGGGGGAUAACACUUGGAAACAGGUGCUAAUACCGCAUAACAGUUUAUGCCGCAUGGCAUAAGAGUGAAAGGCGCUUUCGGGUGUCGCUGAUGGAUGGACCCGCGGUGCAUUAGCUAGUUGGUGAGGUAACGGCUCACCAAGGCCACGAUGCAUAGCCGACCUGAGAGGGUGAUCGGCCACACUGGGACUGAGACACGGCUCAGACUCCUACGGGAGGCAGCAGUAGGGAAUCUUCGGCAAUGGACGAAAGUCUGACCGAGCAACGCCGCGUGAGUGAAGAAGGUUUUCGGAUCGUAAAACUCUGUUGUUAGAGAAGAGCAAGGACGUUAGUAACUGAACGUCCCCUGACGGUAUCUAACCAGAAAGCCACGGCUAACUACGUG